CGMAAGCCUGACGGAGCAAWRCCGCGUGAGGGAGGAAGGCUCUUGGGUUGUAAACCUCUUUUCUCAGGGAAGAAGCUCUGACGGUACCUGAGGAAUMAGCCUCGGCUAACUCCGUGCCAGCAGCCGCGGUAAKACGGAGGAGGCAAGCGUUAUCCGGAAUUAUUGGGCGUAAAGCGUCCGCAGGCGGUUAUUYAAGUCUGCUGUUAAAGCCCRCRGCUYAACUGUGGUUCGGCAGUGGAAACUGAAUARCUSGAGAGCWGUAGGGGUAGAGGGAAUUCCCGGUGUAGCGGUGAAAUGCGUAGAUAUCGGGAAGAACACCAGUG
RNAcentral lists this ribosomal RNA (323 nucleotides) under uncultured cyanobacterium. Its description in RNAcentral is "partial 16S ribosomal RNA". It matches the Rfam family "Bacterial small subunit ribosomal RNA", at positions 376 to 714 of the family's 1533-position model. The record is from RNAcentral. Lineage: Bacteria; Bacillati; Cyanobacteriota.